This 397-nucleotide ribosomal RNA is filed under the name uncultured bacterium. Its description in RNAcentral is "bacterial SSU rRNA". It matches the Rfam family "Bacterial small subunit ribosomal RNA", at positions 29 to 420 of the family's 1533-position model. The record is from RNAcentral.
AUUGAACGCUGGCGGCAGGCCUAACACAUGCAAGUCGAACGGUAGCACAGGAGAGCUUGCUCUCUGGGUGACGAGUGGCGGACGGGUGAGUAAUGCAUGGGGAGCUGCCCAAUCGAGGGAGAUACCAGCUGGAAACGGCUGCUAAUACCGCAUACGCCCUGAGGGGGGAAAGGUGGGGACCUUCGGGCCUACCGCGAUUGGAUGCACCCAUGUGGGAUUAGCUAGUUGGUGAGGUAACGGCUCACCAAGGCGACGAUCUCUAGCUGGUCUGAGAGGAUGACCAGCCACACUGGAACUGAGACACGGUCCAGACUCCUACGGGAGGCAGCAGUGGGGAAUAUUGCACAAUGGGGGAAACCCUGAUGCAGCCAUGCCGCGUGUGUGAAGAAGGCCUCGG